CAUUAUCUCUCUCUGAAACGACCACCUCUCCCUCAUCCUUUCCUCUUCUACGCAAAAAACUCCAACUUGAACCCUAGCUUCUUCCUCCAUCUAUAUAUAAUUUCUUAAGCUCUCUGCCAAAGGAGGAGAGAAAUAAUCUGGAAAAAUCAUAUUUAUACUUUCAAUUUUUGUAUUCUGUCUCUCUCUCAAGUUUCAAUUCGAAAUCCAAAGGGAUAGAUCUGAAACGACCUCUGCGCCUCAGUUUCACUGCCCCAUAAAAGGUAAAUAUAACUCCACCCUCUUUAUUUUGUUGUGUG
Molecule: long non-coding RNA, 296 nt
Filed under: Nicotiana benthamiana
Lineage: Eukaryota; Viridiplantae; Streptophyta; Magnoliopsida; Solanales; Solanaceae
Description: long non-coding RNA (NBEN_LNC039232)
Source: RNAcentral